AUUGAACGCUGGCGGCAUGCUUUACACAUGCAAGUCGAACGGUAACAGGCCUUCGGGUGCUGACGAGUGGCGAACGGGUGAGUAAUGCAUCGGAACGUACCCAGAGGUGGGGGAUAACGCAGCGAAAGCUGUGCUAAUACCGCAUGUGAUCUGAGGAUGAAAGCGGGGGACCGAGCAGCAAUGUUUGGCCUCGCGCCUUUGGAGCGGCCGAUGUCGGAUUAGCUAGUUGGUGGGGUAAAGGCCUACCUAGGCGACGAUCCGUAGCUGGUCUGAGAGGACGACCAGCCACACUGGAACUGAGACACGGCCCAGACUCCUACGGGAGGCAGCAGUGGGGAAUUUUGGACAAAGGGCGCAAGCCUGAUCCAGCAAUGCCGCGUGCGGGAAGAAGGCCUUCGGGUUGUAAACCGCUUUUGGCAGGAACGAAACGGUGUCCGCUAAUACCGGGCGCUAAUGACGGUACCUGCAGAAUAAGCACCGGCUAACUACGUG
RNAcentral lists this ribosomal RNA (492 nucleotides) under uncultured bacterium. RNAcentral's name for it is "partial 16S ribosomal RNA". It matches the Rfam family "Bacterial small subunit ribosomal RNA", at positions 29 to 507 of the family's 1533-position model. The record is from RNAcentral.